Molecule: unclassified non-coding RNA, 366 nt
Filed under: Hevea brasiliensis (rubber tree)
Lineage: Eukaryota; Viridiplantae; Streptophyta; Magnoliopsida; Malpighiales; Euphorbiaceae
Source: RNAcentral
AAAAAAAAAAAAAGAAAAGAAAAAUAAAGUGUUAUAAUUAAGUAGUUGAUUUUAUCUAAUGUUUCAAGUACAAUGUGUUUCAUUAGGACCUUUGGUUAAUCAUCUCAGUUUCUCAUCAGGCCUAGUCCCUAAAUCCCUAAAUUAAAUAGGACGCUUAUAUUGAGAUCAUGCCGCAUCAGCUAUUUCAGUUACUACUAUAUGUGUUGCACCUACAGUGGCAGAGAGUUUGAUAAGACUUUCGAAUAAGAAAGAUCGAUCAUGAAUAAGCUUCAACGGAUUCUCAUUAUGAAUCUUUUUAUAAAUAAGGAGCUAUUUAUAGGCAGAUAAUUGUCAGGUCAGUAUAGUCGGAAAGAAGCUUGCUUACUA